Ictalurus punctatus (channel catfish) is the source of this 1118-nucleotide long non-coding RNA. NCBI's taxonomy places the organism in Eukaryota, Metazoa, Chordata, Actinopteri, Siluriformes, Ictaluridae. The record is from Ensembl.
CCCUCUUGACCGUCACUGUCCUAGUGGAGCCGCUUUAGACGAGUGGGCGGGGCUUCCGGGGAGACAGUAAUGGGCGGGGCUUGUGAGGAGCGAGGGACGGAUAAAGCGUUGAGUCUCAUUCAGGCUCUCUGUGCCCGGGUUAGUCUCUUCUCUCGGAGCACAAUGGUCAGUAAACGUGUCUCCGACGUGCCACUCUCAAUAAACUAAAAAAACAACAACCCGCCUCGUGCUGCUGUGCGCCGGACCCAUGUGUGGACUCGGAGCGCUGUGACAGGGCUGGGAGAGGGAGGAGAGUGUAUCCGUGUGGAGAACAGUGCUCUUGUGUAGGGUCGCGGCGCGCCAGGCGCCCUGAUGCUGCCAGGGAAAAAAAUCGCCAUUGUCCAACAAAAAGCGCUAGCUAGCAGCUAAAUCCCUGGCUUACACACUAGAAACAUGACUUCGACGCUGCCUCACGUCCUUUCCCUCCUCCUCCUCCUCCUCCUCAGCAUCCAGUCAGCUGCAGAGCGAGACAUGAAGCGAAAUGACAGAGGAACGGGAGGAUACGGCGAGGCGAGCCGCAGACCUCAUGCCCGAUCGGGAACGUUUCUGUAGGUUGAUUUAUAUUCUGUUAGAAAACUGGCGCUCAAGUGUCAUCUCAGAUGUCUCGGCAGAGGAAAAAAAGGCGCUAACAGAAAGCCAGUGUUUUGUUAUGAAACCUCUUUCAGCGAGGCGAAAGUACAUCGCGAUAAUGUGGGCUCGUUUAAAGGGUUACCUUAACUACAGACACUAGCUUGUGUUUAGCCUAAAAUAGUCGUGAAAAUACAAAAAAUAUCUAUGUCGGGGACAGAAGAAAUUAGGUUGAUUUUUUUUUUUGAAGAGAAAAGGUUGGAGAAGAAGUUAACAUUGAACCUUUGUGAUGUUCAGUGUCCAUUUUAAUUCUCCAUAUGGUACGUUCAGGUAUUUAUUUGAUAUUUUAGCAUUGACACUAGUGACUACAGCAGUGUAAUUACACAGUUAUGACAUCAUCAUGCUCAUCUGUUAUAGAUCUUCUGUAGUAUAGCUAUUAUAGAUCUGUACUACCUCAUAGUGUUCACUACCUCAUAGAUGCGUUCUAUUACCUCAUAGUGUUCACUACCUCA